This 623-nucleotide ribosomal RNA is filed under the name Pseudotremella nivalis. Its description in RNAcentral is "LSU rRNA". It matches the Rfam family "Eukaryotic large subunit ribosomal RNA", at positions 48 to 635 of the family's 3401-position model. The record is from RNAcentral. Lineage: Eukaryota; Fungi; Basidiomycota; Tremellomycetes; Tremellales; Bulleraceae.
AAGCGGAGGAAAAGAAACUAACAAGGCUCCCCUUAGUAACGGCGAGUGAAGAGGGAAGACCUCAAAUUUGAAAUCUGGCGUGCUCAGCGCGUCCGAGUUGUAAUCUAAAAGAGACGUUUUCCGUGCCGGACCGUGUCCAAGUUCCUUGGAAUAGGAUAUCAAACGAGGGUGACAAUCCCGGUACUAUGACACGACCACCGGUGCCCUGUGAUGCGUCCUCCACGAGUCGAGUUGUUUGGGAAUGCAGCUCUAAACGGGUGGUGAGUUCCCAUCUCAAGGAUAAAUAUUGGCGAGAGACCGAUAGCGAACAAGUACCGUGAGGGAAAGAUGAAAAGCAGUUUGGAAAGAGAGUUAAACACCACGUGAAAUUGUUGAAAGGGAAACGAUUGAAGUCAGUCGUGUCCGUUGAGGCUCACCGGCUCUGCCGGUCUAUUCCCCUCGGAUGGGUCAACGUCAGUUCUGUUCGGCGGAUAAGGGCCGAGGGAAGGUGGUCUGUGUCAACCCUCGGGUUGUCGCGGCUUUAUAGACCUCUGUCACAUACGCCGGGCGGGACUGAGGACUGCAGCUCGCCUUCAUUGGCCGGGGUUUCGACCCACGUACCGAGCUUAGGAUGUUGACAUAAU